UUGCGCUUGAUGGACGGAACUGUACCCAAAAAAGAACAAAGUUCAGCCUUUCGCCAAAUACAACAUUAACUUGAUAACAACAUAAAAAAAUCUGCCAAAAUAAUGCAUAUGGAUAGUGAUGAUCUGAGAUUACUUAAAGAAGGUGUAGUUUUUCCAUUUUUUAACUGAUCUCAUAGAUUCUGAUUUUCCAAAAAUAGAAAAUUCUAUUAUACGCAUGAUACAUGCAAAAAAAAUGCAGACUCAAAAUGAUGCUAAGCGAAAACCAGACAGCUUAUAGAAAAUCAAGAAAUUGACUAAGAAAGGCAUUAGCAGUGCUACCUUGUUAGGAUCCAUUAGAAAAGA
This 342-nucleotide unclassified non-coding RNA is filed under the name Hevea brasiliensis (rubber tree). Lineage: Eukaryota; Viridiplantae; Streptophyta; Magnoliopsida; Malpighiales; Euphorbiaceae. The record is from RNAcentral.